Molecule: ribosomal RNA, 2923 nt
Filed under: Staphylococcus argenteus
Lineage: Bacteria; Bacillati; Bacillota; Bacilli; Caryophanales; Staphylococcaceae
Description: LSU rRNA
Rfam family: Bacterial large subunit ribosomal RNA
Source: RNAcentral
GAUUAAGUUAUUAAGGGCGCACGGUGGAUGCCUUGGCACUAGAAGCCGAUGAAGGACGUUACUAACGACGAUAUGCUUUGGGGAGCUGUAAGUAAGCUUUGAUCCAGAGAUUUCCGAAUGGGGAAACCCAACAUGAGUUAUGUCAUGUUAUCGAUAUGUGAAUACAUAGCAUAUCAGAAGGCACACCCGGAGAACUGAAACAUCUUAGUACCCGGAGGAAGAGAAAGAAAAUUCGAUUCCCUUAGUAGCGGCGAGCGAAACGGGAAGAGCCCAAACCAACAAGCUUGCUUGUUGGGGUUGUAGGACACUCUAUACGGAGUUACAAAGGACGACAUUAGACGAAUCAUCUGGAAAGAUGAAUCAAAGAAGGUAAUAAUCCUGUAGUCGAAAAUGUUGUCUCUCUUGAGUGGAUCCUGAGUACGACGGAGCACGUGAAAUUCCGUCGGAAUCUGGGAGGACCAUCUCCUAAGGCUAAAUACUCUCUAGUGACCGAUAGUGAACCAGUACCGUGAGGGAAAGGUGAAAAGCACCCCGGAAGGGGAGUGAAAUAGAACCUGAAACCGUGUGCUUACAAGUAGUCAGAGCCCGUUAAUGGGUGAUGGCGUGCCUUUUGUAGAAUGAACCGGCGAGUUACGAUUUGAUGCAAGGUUAAGCAGUAAAUGUGGAGCCGUAGCGAAAGCGAGUCUGAAUAGGGCGUUUAGUAUUUGGUCGUAGACCCGAAACCAGGUGAUCUACCCUUGGUCAGGUUGAAGUUCAGGUAACACUGAAUGGAGGACCGAACCGACUUACGUUGAAAAGUGAGCGGAUGAACUGAGGGUAGCGGAGAAAUUCCAAUCGAACCUGGAGAUAGCUGGUUCUCUCCGAAAUAGCUUUAGGGCUAGCCUCAAGCGAUGAUUAUUGGAGGUAGAGCACUGUUUGGACGAGGGGCCCCUCUCGGGUUACCGAAUUCAGACAAACUCCGAAUGCCAAUUAAUUUAACUUGGGAGUCAGAACAUGGGUGAUAAGGUCCGUGUUCGAAAGGGAAACAGCCCAGACCACCAGCUAAGGUCCCAAAAUAUAUGUUAAGUGGAAAAGGAUGUGGCGUUGCCCAGACAACUAGGAUGUUGGCUUAGAAGCAGCCAUCAUUUAAAGAGUGCGUAAUAGCUCACUAGUCGAGUGACACUGCGCCGAAAAUGUACCGGGGCUAAACAUAUUACCGAAGCUGUGGAUUGUCCUUUGGACAAUGGUAGGAGAGCGUUCUAAGGGCGUUGAAGCAUGAUCGUAAGGACAUGUGGAGCGCUUAGAAGUGAGAAUGCCGGUGUGAGUAGCGAAAGACGGGUGAGAAUCCCGUCCACCGAUUGACUAAGGUUUCCAGAGGAAGGCUCGUCCGCUCUGGGUUAGUCGGGUCCUAAGCUGAGGCCGACAGGCGUAGGCGAUGGAUAACAGGUUGAUAUUCCUGUACCACCUAUAAUCGUUUUAAUCGAUGGGGGGACGCAGUAGGAUAGGCGAAGCGUGCGAUUGGAUUGCACGUCUAAGCAGUAAGGCUGAGUAUUAGGCAAAUCCGGUACUCAUUAAGGCUGAGCUGUGAUGGGGAGAAGACAUUGUGUCUUCGAGUCGUUGAUUUCACACUGCCGAGAAAAGCCUCUAGAUAGAAAAUAGGUGCCCGUACCGCAAACCGACACAGGUAGUCAAGAUGAGAAUUCUAAGGUGAGCGAGCGAACUCUCGUUAAGGAACUCGGCAAAAUGACCCCGUAACUUCGGGAGAAGGGGUGCUCUUUAGGGUUAACGCCCAGAAGAGCCGCAGUGAAUAGGCCCAAGCGACUGUUUAUCAAAAACACAGGUCUCUGCUAAACCGUAAGGUGAUGUAUAGGGGCUGACGCCUGCCCGGUGCUGGAAGGUUAAGAGGAGUGGUUAGCUUCUGCGAAGCUACGAAUCGAAGCCCCAGUAAACGGCGGCCGUAACUAUAACGGUCCUAAGGUAGCGAAAUUCCUUGUCGGGUAAGUUCCGACCCGCACGAAAGGCGUAACGAUUUGGGCACUGUCUCAACGAGAGACUCGGUGAAAUCAUAGUACCUGUGAAGAUGCAGGUUACCCGCGACAGGACGGAAAGACCCCGUGGAGCUUUACUGUAGCCUGAUAUUGAAAUUCGGCACAGCUUGUACAGGAUAGGUAGGAGCCUUUGAAACGUGAGCGCUAGCUUACGUGGAGGCGCUGGUGGGAUACUACCCUAGCUGUGUUGGCUUUCUAACCCGCACCACUUAUCGUGGUGGGAGACAGUGUCAGGCGGGCAGUUUGACUGGGGCGGUCGCCUCCUAAAAGGUAACGGAGGCGCUCAAAGGUUCCCUCAGAAUGGUUGGAAAUCAUACAUAGCGUGUAAAGGCAUAAGGGAGCUUGACUGCGAGACCUACAAGUCGAGCAGGGUCGAAAGACGGACUUAGUGAUCCGGUGGUUCCGCAUGGAAGGGCCAUCGCUCAACGGAUAAAAGCUACCCCGGGGAUAACAGGCUUAUCUCCCCCAAGAGUUCACAUCGACGGGGAGGUUUGGCACCUCGAUGUCGGCUCAUCGCAUCCUGGGGCUGUAGUCGGUCCCAAGGGUUGGGCUGUUCGCCCAUUAAAGCGGUACGCGAGCUGGGUUCAGAACGUCGUGAGACAGUUCGGUCCCUAUCCGUCGUGGGCGUAGGAAAUUUGAGAGGAGCUGUCCUUAGUACGAGAGGACCGGGAUGGACAUACCUCUGGUGUACCAGUUGUCGUGCCAACGGCAUAGCUGGGUAGCUAUGUGUGGACGGGAUAAGUGCUGAAAGCAUCUAAGCAUGAAGCCCCCCUCAAGAUGAGAUUUCCCAACUUCGGUUAUAAGAUCCCUCAAAGAUGAUGAGGUUAAUAGGUUCGAGGUGGAAGCAUGGUGACAUGUGGAGCUGACGAAUACUAAUCGAUCGAAGACUUAAUCAA